Molecule: unclassified non-coding RNA, 207 nt
Filed under: Hevea brasiliensis (rubber tree)
Lineage: Eukaryota; Viridiplantae; Streptophyta; Magnoliopsida; Malpighiales; Euphorbiaceae
Source: RNAcentral
UGUCACGGUCAGCUGCCUUGAUAAACCAGGUUUCCUCCUCAUCGCUCUCAGUGUCACAAGCAUAAACACAAAUGCAUCUUGAUUGUUCAGUGUAUAACUGUUUAUAUAUGAAUGAUGCAUGCCCAUUCAUACAGGAUUUUUUUUUCAUGGUCUGAUUGCUAUACAUUUUUUGUUUGAACAGAAAUGCCAUGUUAAGAAUAAAGAUAU